GCCCUUAGCUGUCUGCUCAGGGAGGACGUGACAAGCUGAGACCUGGCCUGGCUGUGCAUCUGGGGCUGGGCCCUGCCUUUGCUGUGCCUCAGCUCUUGGCUGAAGGGGGUGUACCCCAUGGUUUCUGUGCUUGUUUGGGGGUCACCUCCCAGGGCCCCACAUGGGGGAGGGGAGGCUGGGGUGACCAGAAUGCCCCAGGUCUGCUCCUCCUACCAUUGUAACUGGGCCCAGCGAGACCCUGCAGUGUCCAGGUCACCAGCAGGGGCCCUCGCUCAGGGGAGCCCAGGCCCUGCCUGCCCCCGGCUGCCCAGCGGUGCCCUCUGCUCGCUCUCUCUAUUUCGGGGCUGGGAUUGGACCCGGGAUGCUGAACCACUGAGAUUUUAUUUUGAGACAGGACCUUGCUAAGUGGCCCAGGCUGGCCUCAACCUCCCGAGUCACUCGGAUGGCAGCUGUGCCCAUCGCACCUGGCCCAGCUUUUCUUAUCACAAAGGCACCCACCCUGCUCAGGCACACUGGGUGCUGAGCUAAGUAUUCCAGACCCAAAUCAACGCCUUGAACCCUCCUGACUCCCCAACUGCAAGGGCACGUGCCACUACCAUCCCUGGUUUACAGAGGAGAAAACUGAGGCCCAGAGGUCCGGGGACAUGGUGCGAGGUGGCAGGUGCCGUGGGGACACAGCAGUCUGCCUGCUGAGUGCCCCACAGGACAGGGCACAGCCCACACGGCAGAGACACAGCUGGCCCCUCUCUGUGGGAGGCUCUCUGUGGGAGGACAGCUCGGGGGUCACACUGAGGGAACACAGAGCGCUGUUGGAGCCGCGUGCACGGUGGCCCUGGGCUGCUGGGGGCGUCUCCUACCAUCUGCGAGCCCAGGACGCCCGCCCACGGCGCUCCAGACGCCGUUCCCGCUGCGCGGCGGGGGGGGGGUCUCGCGGCUCCUCGCCCGCCCCAAAGCUGCUCCUCCUGGCAGGUGGCUCCAGGCAGAAGCUUGGAGAGUCCCAAGUCUCCUUCCCCCAUGUCCCACCUCCGUUCUGCCAGCAGAGCCGGCGGCUCCCGGCUCCCAUCCUCCCAGAGCUGCCAGCCUGGCCCAGGACGCCGCCAUCCUGCGCCCCACAGCCCACAGGCGCCCAGCCUGGCCCCCUGCCACCCACACGGUGGCCAGGGGAUGCUGGGCCAGGCCUGCAGGGGGUGGUGUGCAU
Molecule: long non-coding RNA, 1198 nt
Filed under: Marmota monax (woodchuck)
Lineage: Eukaryota; Metazoa; Chordata; Mammalia; Rodentia; Sciuridae
Source: RNAcentral